UCGAAACAGACGUACGGGAAGGAUGAAUUAAGAUAACACGAAGAAAAAAAUCACAGAGAAGCAAUCAGACGCAGGAGGAAGAAAAUUAACGAACAUUCCAGCAGCAAAUUAAUUAAACUCCACCAAUCACGACUGAAGAAUAUCAACGCAGCUUGAUCAUAUCAUCCCAUCUAGCUUGCUAGUACGUAACUAGCUAGCUAAUAAAUAAAACUCGAUGUAAGCAAGAACAGCCGGCUAGCUGGCUCAUACUCAAACUAAUCAGUUCAUCACUAAUGAUUAAGCUCGACCAUGCAUGAAUGACGCAGGAGCUAGCUAGGUAAUUAGUUAAGGUAAUAGGUGAGGUGAUGUGUGGGAGGAGGCGGAGGCGGGGGGCGGAGAAGACGAUGGCAGCGGGUGCAGGAGAAGCGCUUCUUGUUGCGGAGGCAGAGCGGCAGGCACAGGAUCCGGCGCGCGCUCUCCACCUCCGUCGCCACCACCGCGCCGCCGCACCGCGGGCACGACCCCGGCGCCUUCUGCGGCGACCCCGUCAGCUCCCUCUCCUCCUCCGCCCCGCACCACCCCAUCGCCCUCCUCGCCGCCGCCUCCAUUGAUGCCGCCCGCCUAGCUCCCUCUCGCCCGGCCUCUACGUACCUCAAGUCCUCAACUGAAUUUGCACAGCUCGAUUAGCAAAGCUCAGAUGAUGAGAGAGAGCCAACCAAUUAAGAACAAGCAAGCGUGAGAAAUGCGCGCUGUGCAGUUCAUGGUGGUGUGUCUGUGUAGUGU
This 762-nucleotide long non-coding RNA is filed under the name Oryza brachyantha (malo sina). RNAcentral describes it as "long non-coding RNA (OBRA_LNC002208)". The record is from RNAcentral. Lineage: Eukaryota; Viridiplantae; Streptophyta; Magnoliopsida; Poales; Poaceae.